GGAAAAAAACUACCAAACAUUCAGGGCGUACUCCUUCAAACUAAUCAUGCACUACUUUAAGUUCAUGAACUCUUAAGCCUUCGAUUCCCACAACUCCUAAUGAACAAAAAUGAUUAAGAAAGGAACCCAAAAACUCAUCCCAUGCCCAUAAAUCAGCAGAAAUAUUCUCUUUCCAUGCCCAUUACCUCGUGACUCUUCCCACUCUUCAUACCAC
This 214-nucleotide long non-coding RNA is filed under the name Capsicum annuum. RNAcentral describes it as "long non-coding RNA (CANN_LNC011500)". The record is from RNAcentral. Lineage: Eukaryota; Viridiplantae; Streptophyta; Magnoliopsida; Solanales; Solanaceae.